CUGUAACGCUGCAGCAAAGCAUCACUAGUACUCCGGGCCGUGUGAAUAUGUCAACAUGAUCGGAGGGGAGGGAGCAGGCAGCGCCGGGGAGGGCGGCCGGGAGCACCCGCCUCUAGGGGGGGUGCUCGGGGCCGCCUCGCCCCCCCCCAGCCCCGGCCCUGGCCCCCCGCGGCCCCGGCGAGAUGGCAGGCUGGGCAUUUCCAGUGCGCUCUCCUCCGGCUGCCUGCCCUGGAUGAAGGCCACUCGGCUGGCACCGGCGCCGAGAGGGUUACGCUCCCACACCCCUCCUCUUCCAUGAGGUGCGCGGGGAGGAGACGGGAAGUGCGGCUUUCCCUGCGCCCGGGCCGCGGCAGCGCCGGGCGGGGGGGGCCAUCCCCGGCUGCCCCCGUGCCCGGGCUGCAUGGAGCCACCUCCCCUCCCGCGCGGGGAAGGCAUCACGCGUGGGCCUGCGCCGGCCUCACGGAGCGGGAAGAGCAGGGCAGGAUCCGCUUGGGAAGUUUCUGGGGAGACAUGUUCCUCGGGGAACGCCAGGGCAGGGCAGCAAGACGGGGCGUCGCGCGUGUGCGUGUCGUGGGAGCCGCGGGCAUGCAGGGCACGGCGCGCCCACGCGGGUGUCGGCCGGGAUAUGCCAGCGCUGGGAGAUGCCGAAUCACCACCCAGCCCCCCUCCCCGAUCCCUCCCUGGGGGAUCUCCCGGCACACCCCACACCCCCCCCCCAUCUUGCUUUAAGGAGGGGAAGAUAAUCCUGCGGGAGCGGAGCGGCGGAGUGCGGGGGCUCGGCGCUGGCUGCGCGCAGAUGGGAGCGGAACCUCUAAAGUGAUUAGCUCUUCUAACAUUGCAUUUUUGACGCACAUGGUUAAGAGCGCUUGGCGCCAGCUUGGUGAAGUCCCUGUAGUAACCAGCGUCUAGGAUCGCUUUGCAUUCACCAAAAUAUCUCCCCUUUGGUCGGGGGAGGGAAUGGAGAAAGGAGGAGGAGGAGGGAGGAAAGGAAGCGGGAGUAAUGCGUUCAAAGAGGAUGGGGGCGGGGGAGGAAGACUUGGGGCCGGGGGGGGGGGAGAAAGUCUGAUGUGUUUCACGAAGCCAGGAGCUUGGCUACCCGCGCAGCGCUCGGCUGGGCUGUGCAGCUAGUUAUCAACGAAAGGAGCGAGUUUUUUCAGGCUCUGCUUGGAACCGGUUCUCGGGCUCCUGCCUCCAGCCGCUGCCGCGGUAGGAACCCCCAAACCCCAUGCCUUCCCUUUAACAGAGCCCACAACAAACGCCCGGCGGCUUCAAGAAGUUUGCCGCAAUUUGCCCCAACGGGGCCGCCGCUCUCUCCCGAGGACCUGGAGGUGCCCGCGGGCUCCCGCAAGACAAGCGCAGCCGCCCCCAGCCCCGCCGCGCCCCGGCCCUCGCGCCCGCCCCUCCGGAGCGCACCCUCGGCGCCGCGGCGGAGGCCGGAGUCGCUGCCGCCCUCCGCGCCGGCCCCGCACCUUGCACCGCGCUCGGCACCCACCCGCGCAGCGGCCCGCGGAGGGAAAAUAAAAUGUUUGCCGCUUAUGAUUUCCAA
Molecule: non-coding RNA, 1546 nt
Organism: Phalacrocorax carbo (great cormorant)
Lineage: Eukaryota; Metazoa; Chordata; Aves; Suliformes; Phalacrocoracidae
Source: RefSeq, a predicted model, not a curated record